AGGGAUUUAGCUCAGUGGUGCAGCGCCUGCCUAACAAGUACAAAGUCUUGAGUUUGAUUCCCAGUAUCUCUU
This 72-nucleotide transfer RNA is filed under the name Cavia porcellus (domestic guinea pig). It matches the Rfam family "tRNA". From Rfam's summary of the family: Transfer RNA (tRNA) molecules are approximately 80 nucleotides in length. Their secondary structure includes four short double-helical elements and three loops (D, anti-codon, and T loops). Lineage: Eukaryota; Metazoa; Chordata; Mammalia; Rodentia; Caviidae. The record is from Rfam by way of RNAcentral.